RNAcentral lists this transfer RNA (82 nucleotides) under Albimonas pacifica. It matches the Rfam family "tRNA". From Rfam's summary of the family: Transfer RNA (tRNA) molecules are approximately 80 nucleotides in length. Their secondary structure includes four short double-helical elements and three loops (D, anti-codon, and T loops). The record is from Rfam by way of RNAcentral. Lineage: Bacteria; Pseudomonadati; Pseudomonadota; Alphaproteobacteria; Rhodobacterales; Paracoccaceae.
GCGGGCGUGGUGGAACCGGUAGACACGCGAGAUUUAGGUUCUCGUGCCGCAAGGCGUGGGGGUUCAAGUCCCUCCGCCCGCA